GUCUCUGUGGCUCAGUGGUAGAGCAGUGGACCGGGAAAUCCGAAGGUCUGAGGUUCGAUUCCUCGUGGGGACU
Pocillopora damicornis (cauliflower coral) is the source of this 73-nucleotide non-coding RNA. Lineage: Eukaryota; Metazoa; Cnidaria; Anthozoa; Scleractinia; Pocilloporidae. The record is from the annotation of a RefSeq genome assembly.